GACGAACGCUGGCGGCGUGCUUAACACAUGCAAGUCGAACGGAAAGGCCCUGCUUUUGUGGGGUGCUCGAGUGGCGAACGGGUGAGUAACACGUGAGUAACCUGCCCUUGACUUUGGGAUAACUUCAGGAAACUGGGGCUAAUACCUGAUAGGAGCUCCUGCUGCAUGGUGGGGGGUGGAAAGUUUCGGCGGUUGGGGAUGGACUCGCGGCUUAUCAGCUUGUUGGUGGGGUAGUGGCUUACCAAGGCUUUGACGGGUAGCCGGCCUGAGAGGGUGACCGGCCACAUUGGGACUGAGAUACGGCCCAGACUCCUACGGGAGGCAGCAGUGGGGAAUAUUGCACAAUGGGCGGAAGCCUGAUGCAGCAACGCCGCGUGCGGGAUGACGGCCUUCGGGUUGUAAACCGCUUUCGCCUGUGACGAAGCGUGAGUGACGGUAAUGGGUAAAGAAGCACCGGCUAACUACGUG
RNAcentral lists this ribosomal RNA (468 nucleotides) under uncultured bacterium. Its description in RNAcentral is "partial 16S ribosomal RNA". It matches the Rfam family "Bacterial small subunit ribosomal RNA", at positions 28 to 507 of the family's 1533-position model. The record is from RNAcentral.